This 46-nucleotide non-coding RNA is filed under the name Trichobilharzia regenti. Lineage: Eukaryota; Metazoa; Platyhelminthes; Trematoda; Strigeidida; Schistosomatidae. The record is from RNAcentral.
CUUCUGUUGAAGAGUCCCAAACUGGGACGAAACACUUGUCCAGUAC